CAGUAUUUUGACUGUGCAUUGGUAGGAUAAUCAUUAGCCUUUUAAUUGAAGGCUUGCAUGAAUGGUUGGACGAGGUAUUAACUGUUUCAUAUAAAUUUAUAAUAAAAUUUUAUAUUUUAGUAAAAAAGCUAAAAUUUAAUUAAAAGACGAGAAGACCCUAUAAAUCUUUAUAUUUAAAUUUUAAUUUAAUUUUUUAAAUUAGUUUAAUUAAAUUUAAUUUAAUUAUUUUAUUGGGGUGAUAUUAAAAUUUAUAAAACUUUUAAUUUUAAAUAUACAUUAAUUUAUGAUUUGUUGAUCUAUUAUUAAUGAUUAAAAGAAUAAGUUACUUUAGGGAUAACAGCGUAAUUUUUUUGGAGAGUUCUUAUUAAUAAAAAAGUUUGCGACCUCGAUGUUGGAUUAAGAAAUAAAUUUAGGUGUAGAAGCUUAAAAAUUAAGUCUGUUCGACUUUUAAAUUCUUACAUGAUCUGAGUUCAAACCGGCGUAAGCCAGGUUGGUUUCUAUCUUUAAUUUUUUAUAAUAUUUUAGUACGAAAGGACCAAAUAUUAAAUUUAUAAAAAUUUAAUUUUUGAAAAUAAUUAAAUU
RNAcentral lists this ribosomal RNA (582 nucleotides) under Tomoplagia rupestris. RNAcentral's name for it is "partial 16S ribosomal RNA". The stretch from base 333 to 492 matches the Rfam family "Bacterial large subunit ribosomal RNA", at positions 2473 to 2632 of the family's 2925-position model. The record is from RNAcentral. Lineage: Eukaryota; Metazoa; Arthropoda; Insecta; Diptera; Tephritidae.